CCUACGGGCGGCAGCAGUGAGGAAUAUUGGUCAAUGGACGAGAGUCUGAACCAGCCAAGUAGCGUGAAGGAUGACUGCCCUAUGGGUUGUAAACUUCUUUUAUAUGGGAAUAAAACGUUCCACGUGUGGGAUUUUGUAUGUACCAUAUGAAUAAGGAUCGGCUAACUCCGUGCCAGCAGCCGCGGUAAUACGGAGGAUCCGAGCGUUAUCCGGAUUUAUUGGGUUUAAAGGGAGCGUAGGUGGAUUGUUAAGUCAGUUGUGAAAGUUUGCUGCUCAACCGUAAAAUUGCAGUUGAAACUGGCAGUCUUGAGUACAGUAGAGGUGGGCGGAAUUCGGGGUGUAGCGGUGAAAUGCUUAGAUAUCACGAAGAACUCCGAUUGCGAAGGCAGUUCACUGGACUGCAACUGACACUGAGGCUCGAAAGUGUGGGUAUCAAACAGGAUUAGAUACCCGAGUAGUC
This 460-nucleotide ribosomal RNA is filed under the name uncultured bacterium. Its description in RNAcentral is "partial 16S ribosomal RNA". It matches the Rfam family "Bacterial small subunit ribosomal RNA", at positions 338 to 795 of the family's 1533-position model. The record is from RNAcentral.